AUUGAACGCUGGCGGCAGGCCUAACACAUGCAAGUCGAGCGGAGCGGCGGACGGGUGAGUAAUGCCUAGGACUCUGCCUGGUAGUGGGGGAUAACGUCCGGAAACGGGCGCUAAUACCGCAUACUAUUAGAUUAGCCUAGGUCGGAUUAGCUAGUUGGUGGGGUAAUGGACUAGCAGGGCGACGAUCCGUAACUGGUCUGAGAGGAUGAUCAGUCACACUGUAACUGAGACACGGUCCAGACUCCUACGGGAGGCAUCAGUGGGGAAUAUUGGACAAGGGGCGAAGGCCUGAGCCAGCAAUGACGCGUGGGUGAAGAAGGUCUUCGGGUUGUAAAGUACUUUAAGUUGGGAGGCGUUACCAACAGAAUAAGCACCGGCUAACUUCGUGCCAGCAGCCGCGGUAAUUC
This 407-nucleotide ribosomal RNA is filed under the name uncultured bacterium. Its description in RNAcentral is "partial 16S ribosomal RNA". It matches the Rfam family "Bacterial small subunit ribosomal RNA", at positions 30 to 526 of the family's 1533-position model. The record is from RNAcentral.